Oncorhynchus tshawytscha (Chinook salmon) is the source of this 130-nucleotide small nucleolar RNA. NCBI's taxonomy places the organism in Eukaryota, Metazoa, Chordata, Actinopteri, Salmoniformes, Salmonidae. The record is from Ensembl.
UGCAGCCUUGUCAAAUUCGGUGCUUCCUCCACAAUGGACUGCACUGGCCAAAAUGGCUGCAACCUGUAGUUCAUGGGCCCCACAUCCCUUAUGCAUGGGUGUACGGGAUAGAUUUGUACUACAGACAAUU